GACGAACGCUGGCGGCGUGCUUAACACAUGCAAGUCGAACGGAAAGGCCCUGCUUUUGUGGGGUGCUCGAGUGGCUAACGGGUGAGUAACACGUGAGUAACCUGCCCUUUACUUUGGGAUAACUUCAGGAAACUGGGGCUAAUACCGGAUAGUAGCUCCUGCUGCAUGGUGGGGGUUGGAAAGUUUCGGCGGUUGGGGAUGGACUCGCGGCUUAUCAGCUUGUUGGUGGGGUAGUGGCUUACCAAGGCUUUGACGGGUAGCCGGCCUGGGAGGGUGACCGGCCACAAUGGGACUGAGAGAGGGACCAGACUCGUACGGGGGGCAGCAGGGGGGAAUAUUGCACAAUGGGCGGAAGCCUGAUGAAGAAACGCCGCGUGCGGGAAGAAGGCCUUCGGGUGGUAAACCGAGUUAGCCUGUGACGAAGAGUGAGUGACGGUAAUGGGUAAAGAAGCACCGGCUAACUACGUG
This 468-nucleotide ribosomal RNA is filed under the name uncultured bacterium. RNAcentral describes it as "partial 16S ribosomal RNA". It matches the Rfam family "Bacterial small subunit ribosomal RNA", at positions 28 to 507 of the family's 1533-position model. The record is from RNAcentral.